This 1623-nucleotide ribosomal RNA is filed under the name Escherichia coli. RNAcentral's name for it is "partial 23S ribosomal RNA". It matches the Rfam family "Bacterial large subunit ribosomal RNA", at positions 1241 to 2843 of the family's 2925-position model. Lineage: Bacteria; Pseudomonadati; Pseudomonadota; Gammaproteobacteria; Enterobacterales; Enterobacteriaceae. The record is from RNAcentral.
CUGUAAGCCUGUGAAGGUGUGCUGUGAGGCAUGCUGGAGGUAUCAGAAGUGCGAAUGCUGACAUAAGUAACGAUAAAGCGGGUGAAAAGCCCGCUCGCCGGAAGACCAAGGGUUCCUGUCCAACGUUAAUCGGGGCAGGGUGAGUCGACCCCUAAGGCGAGGCCGAAAGGCGUAGUCGAUGGGAAACAGGUUAAUAUUCCUGUACUUGGUGUUACUGCGAAGGGGGGACGGAGAAGGCUAUGUUGGCCGGGCGACGGUUGUCCCGGUUUAAGCGUGUAGGCUGGUUUUCCAGGCAAAUCCGGAAAACUAAGGCUGAGGCGUGAUGACGAGGCACUACGGUGCUGAAGCAACAAAUGCCCUGCUUCCAGGAAAAGCCUCUAAGCAUCAGGUAACAUCAAAUCGUACCCCAAACCGACACAGGUGGUCAGGUAGAGAAUACCAAGGCGCUUGAGAGAACUCGGGUGAAGGAACUAGGCAAAAUGGUGCCGUAACUUCGGGAGAAGGCACGCUGAUAUGUAGGUGAAGUCCCUCGCGGAUGGAGCUGAAAUCAGUCGAAGAUACCAGCUGGCUGCAACUGUUUAUUAAAAACACAGCACUGUGCAAACACGAAAGUGGACGUAUACGGUGUGACGCCUGCCCGGUGCCGGAAGGUUAAUUGAUGGGGUCAGCGCAAGCGAAGCUCUUGAUCGAAGCCCCGGUAAACGGCGGCCGUAACUAUAACGGUCCUAAGGUAGCGAAAUUCCUUGUCGGGUAAGUUCCGACCUGCACGAAUGGCGUAAUGAUGGCCAGGCUGUCUCCACCCGAGACUCAGUGAAAUUGAACUCGCUGUGAAGAUGCAGUGUACCCGCGGCAAGACGGAAAGACCCCGUGAACCUUUACUAUAGCUUGACACUGAACAUUGAGCCUUGAUGUGUAGGAUAGGUGGGAGGCUUUGAAGUGUGGACGCCAGUCUGCAUGGAGCCGACCUUGAAAUACCACCCUUUAAUGUUUGAUGUUCUAACGUUGACCCGUAAUCCGGGUUGCGGACAGUGUCUGGUGGGUAGUUUGACUGGGGCGGUCUCCUCCUAAAGAGUAACGGAGGAGCACGAAGGUUGGCUAAUCCUGGUCGGACAUCAGGAGGUUAGUGCAAUGGCAUAAGCCAGCUUGACUGCGAGCGUGACGGCGCGAGCAGGUGCGAAAGCAGGUCAUAGUGAUCCGGUGGUUCUGAAUGGAAGGGCCAUCGCUCAACGGAUAAAAGGUACUCCGGGGAUAACAGGCUGAUACCGCCCAAGAGUUCAUAUCGACGGCGGUGUUUGGCACCUCGAUGUCGGCUCAUCACAUCCUGGGGCUGAAGUAGGUCCCAAGGGUAUGGCUGUUCGCCAUUUAAAGUGGUACGCGAGCUGGGUUUAGAACGUCGUGAGACAGUUCGGUCCCUAUCUGCCGUGGGCGCUGGAGAACUGAGGGGGGCUGCUCCUAGUACGAGAGGACCGGAGUGGACGCAUCACUGGUGUUCGGGUUGUCAUGCCAAUGGCACUGCCCGGUAGCUAAAUGCGGAAGAGAUAAGUGCUGAAAGCAUCUAAGCACGAAACUUGCCCCGAGAUGAGUUCUCCCUGACUCCUUGAGAGUCCUGAAGGAACGUUGAAG